UGUCACUUCCUGAUUAAAGUAUAUGGUAGCGAAAAGUGUAGAGUUGUCUUGAAAGCGCAAGUCUUGAAAAUUUACGAAGUCGACACGGUCUGUAGCUAAGGCAUGGUUUAAGAAAUAAACCACUUCAGAUUUCUUAGUGACAUUUUCUCCAUUCUUGCGGUAUCGGGAAUACUGUACAAGUUGUACUACAUCACUAAAUGCACUAUUAUACUUAAAAAAAAUCGGCAGAAGGAAUUUCGCACGACUUAGCCGUAUUCUGAUGUAGAUUGUAGGCCGUAAAUAUGCAUAAUAUUAACGUGUUUGAAGUGAAUAAUUACGGAGAUUAAAAUUGUUUAGAUCCCUUUUGGGUGAAGGAUGAUAAUGACGAGAGAAGGAAGAGUGUGGAACCCAGUACUGCCACACAGCCUACACGCCUCGAAUAGCACCAAAGGGACUGCCAAGUUUAAUGUCUCCAUCAAUCAGAUGGAUCACCAACAUGUCACAUGCCCUCACUUAAUAACUGAGGAGAGGUUUGGAAUUUAAUCCAUGACACUAGCGCAAAGUCUGAUGGUAAGGAAAUGUACCCUGCCACAUCUCCUCACCUUGCUGGCAGAGUACUGGCUGUGAAAAUUUCAUCUCCCCCCAGGAUUUGAACACACACACACACACACACACACACACACACACACACACACACACACUUACUUCUGAGUCGAGCACCACCACACAGGUGUGCUUUAGUGACCUCCACUACAGGGGCUGGUGUUGUCACUGAAAUGAAAAUGAAAUGAAGAUAAGUGGAACGUGAAUUGAAAUCAAUGGAUGGCACAUGCACUAUGGAAGUUCUUUACUGAAUGCAAGAAAGACUGUGAAGAGAAUCUAACAGAAGGUGGAUAGACAACAUCAGAAAUCUUGAAAACAUACAUAGUGAUAUGGAUCUAUCUUCUUGAAGACCGCAGUGUCUGCAAAAAUACAGAGGAGGUCUGCAUCUAUGAAGCGCAAAGAACUGGUUGACAUGAAUGAUCAUCAGAAGUACGUAUAACAUUGAGGAAAUAGCUAAUAAUAAUUUCUUACUGUUAGUAUACAGGUACUUUUUUGACUCACUUCACUGAAGGAUCACAUUUAUGAUGGAACAUGAUGAUCAAGUACACUAAUUAAUGAACAAAUGCUGAUUUCCACCAAGGUAGCAGAAGAUCUACAAGCUGUUAAAAUUGUGAAGUGGUAUACCCGGUGAACCCAUACACUACAGACAAAAUUUCAGAAAUAGUUCAGGGGCAUUUUCUAAGUAUUUUUAGAACAAGGGGUCCAUGAUCUCAUGUGGCUCAAUACAAAGUAAUUUAAUUGUGUGUGAUUUCUUACUCCCCUUUACAGUGAGGUGACAAAAAUUGUGGGAUUAGUGAAAUGCAUACAUACAGAUGGCGGCACUUUCAUGUACACAAUGUAUAAAAGGGCAAUGUAUUGGUGGAGCUGUCAUUUGUACUCUGAUAAUUCAUGAGAAAAGGAUUUCGAUGUGAUUAUGGCCGCACAUCGGGAAUUAACAGACUCUAAACGCAGAAUGGUAGUUGGAGCCAGAUGCAUGGGACAUUCCAUUUCGGAAAUCCUAGGGAAUAUGGUGAACAGUGUCAAAUAUGUACCGGAAAUACCAAAUUUUAGGCAUUACCUCUCACCAUGGACAACGCAAUGGCCGAUGGCCUUCAUUUAACGACUGAGAGCAGUCUUUGUUGCACAGAAGAGAGUUAUCAGGAUUUUGAGUAGAGUGCAUUCUAGAUCUUCUUGCAGAAAUUUAUUGAAACGGCUGGGGAUCCUCACCAUGCCUUGUCAAUACAUCUUGUCACUAAUGUGCUUCGUGAACAAAAAUUAUGCAAUUUACAAAAUGAGUAGUGCGUGCCAUGAUCACAAUACAAGAAGAAAAUAUGAUCUUCACAUAGAUUUAAGAGAUCUCAGCAUGGUACAGAAAGGAGUUCAUUAUUCAAAUAUAAAAGUGUUCGAUAAACUUCCUGUCCGUAUCAAAUCAGUCAUUGGGGAUCAUACUAAAUUCAAAACAGAGCUAAAACUUUGUUUUGGAUAAUUCUUUCUAUUCUUUACAGGAAUUCUUUGAUAAUGUGUAAUACUUCUUGAAUUUGUGUUUAAUUUCAUGCAUUUCUAAUAGAACUGAUUAUGUAGACUAGCAUAUCACUUGUUAGCUGAAUAUUUUUAGAUGAAUUACUUUAAAUUUGUUUAUGUAAUGAUCUAUGUCAUUACUGUACUAUUAUCUGUGUUGUUAUCUAAAUUUUUGUGUGUAAUUAUUUGACAUGUGGAUGUCUUUUAUCAUGUAUCUGAUUAUAUAUGUUAAAUUGGUUGCCUCAUGAUCAUCUACAUGUGGCUAUUUCUGUAAUAACCUGACACAUUCUACAUCCUAGCGAUACAUUCGCGUCAAGGAUCCACAGAACUCGAAAAUAAAUAAAUAAAAGUG
This 2431-nucleotide long non-coding RNA is filed under the name Schistocerca americana (American grasshopper). RNAcentral's name for it is "uncharacterized LOC124623166". The record is from RNAcentral. Lineage: Eukaryota; Metazoa; Arthropoda; Insecta; Orthoptera; Acrididae.